RNAcentral lists this ribosomal RNA (253 nucleotides) under uncultured bacterium. RNAcentral describes it as "partial 16S ribosomal RNA". It matches the Rfam family "Bacterial small subunit ribosomal RNA", at positions 524 to 776 of the family's 1533-position model. The record is from RNAcentral.
UACAGAGGGUGCGAGCGUUGUCCGGAAUCACUGGGCGUAAAGGGUGCGUAGGCGGACCUGUAAGUCAGUGGUGAAAUCUCUCAGCUUAACUGAGAAACUGCCAUUGAUACUGCAAGUCUAGAGUAUAGAUGACGUUGGCGGAAUAUGACAUGUAGUGGUGAAAUACUUAGAUAUGUCAUAGAACACCGAUUGCGAAGGCAGCUAACGAAACUAUAACUGACGCUGAGGCACGAAAGUGCGGGGAUCAAACAGG